Molecule: ribosomal RNA, 544 nt
Filed under: uncultured Cercozoa
Lineage: Eukaryota; Cercozoa
Description: partial 18S small subunit ribosomal RNA
Rfam family: Eukaryotic small subunit ribosomal RNA
Source: RNAcentral
AUUAAAGUUGUUGCAGUUAAAAAGCUCGUAGUUGGAUUUCUGGUACAACGCGCCUGGCCCGCUUUUAGUGAGUGCCGGUGCGCGUUUGCCAUCCUUCUAGAAAACGUUUCUACCUGGGCAACCGGGCCGGACUCGCGAUCUAGAUCUUUUACUUUGAAAAAAUUAGAGUGUUUAAAGCAGGCUUUUGCUGUGAAUACAUUAGCAUGGAAUAAUAAUCUAGGACUUCGGUUCUAUUUUGUUGGUUUCUAGUACUGAAGUAAUGAUUGAUAGGGAUAGUUGGGGGUGCUAGUAUUGGCCGGCCAGAGGUGAAAUUCUUGGAUUCGGUCAAGACUAACUUAUGCGAAAGCAUUCACCAAGGAUGUCUUCUUUAAUCAAGAACGAAAGUUGGGGGAUCGAAGACGAUCAGAUACCGUCGUAGUCUCAACCAUAAACUAUGCCAACUAGGGAUGGGUGAACGUUGUUUUUUUGACUUCAUCUGCACCUUAUGAGAAAUCAAAGUCUUUGGGUUCCGGGGGGGGUAUGGUCGCAAGGCUGAAACUUAAAG